This 426-nucleotide ribosomal RNA is filed under the name uncultured bacterium. Its description in RNAcentral is "partial 16S ribosomal RNA". It matches the Rfam family "Bacterial small subunit ribosomal RNA", at positions 354 to 796 of the family's 1533-position model. The record is from RNAcentral.
GUGAGGAAUUUUCCGCAAUGGGCGAAAGCCUGACGGAGCAAUGCCGCGUGAAGGAUGAAGGCCUAUGGGUUGUAAACUUCUUUUCUUAGAGAAGAAUAUUGACGGUAUCUGAGGAAUAAGCAUCGGCUAACUCUGUGCCAGCAGCCGCGGUAAGACAGAGGAUGCAAGCGUUAUCCGGAAUGAUUGGGCGUAAAGCGUCUGUAGGUGGCUUCAAAAGUCUCCUGUCAAAGAUCAGGUCUUAACCCUGGGCCGGCAGGAGAAACUCUGAGGCUAGAGUUUGGUAGGGGCAGAGAGAAUUCCCGGUGGAGCGGUGAAAUGCGUAGAGAUCGGGAGGAACACCAAAGGCGAAAGCACUCUGCUGGGCCACAACUGACACUGAGAGACGAAAGCGAGGGGAGCAAAAGGGAUUAGAUACCCGGGUAGUCC